Molecule: ribosomal RNA, 433 nt
Filed under: uncultured bacterium
Lineage: Bacteria
Description: partial 16S ribosomal RNA
Rfam family: Bacterial small subunit ribosomal RNA
Source: RNAcentral
AGCGAACGCUGGCGGCAGGCCUAACACAUGCAAGUCGAACGAACUCUUCGGAGUUAGUGGCGGACGGGUGGGUAACACGUGGGAACGUGCCUUUUGGUUCGGAAUAACUCAGGGAAACUUGUGCUAAUACCGCAUGUGCCCUUCGGGGGAAAGAUUUAUCGCCAUUAGAGCGGCCGGCGUCUGAUUAGCUAGUUGGUGAGGUAACGGCGCACCAAGGCGACGAUCAGUAGCUGGUCUGGGAGGAUGGCCAGCGACACUGGGACUGAGACACGGCCCAGACUCGUACGGGAGGCAGCAGUGGGUGAUCUUGCGCAAUGGGCGAAAGGCUGACGCAGCCAUGCCGGGGGAAUUAUGAAGGUCUUAGGAUUGUAAAAUUCUUUCACCGGGGACGAUAAUGACGGUACCCGGAGAAGAAGCCCCGGCUAACUUCGUG